This 372-nucleotide ribosomal RNA is filed under the name uncultured bacterium. RNAcentral describes it as "bacterial SSU rRNA". It matches the Rfam family "Bacterial small subunit ribosomal RNA", at positions 30 to 403 of the family's 1533-position model. The record is from RNAcentral.
AUUGAACGCUGGCGGCAUGCCUUACACAUGCAAGUCGAACGGCAGCACGGGAGCAAUCCUGGUGGCGAGUGGCGAACGGGUGAGUAAUAUAUCGGAACGUGCCCAGUCGUGGGGAUAACGUAGCGAAAGCUACGCUAAUACCGCAUACGAUCUAUGGAUGAAAGCGGGGGAUCGCAAGACCUCGCGCGAUUGGAGCGGCCGAUAUCAGAUUAGGUAGUUGGUGAGGUAAAGGCUCGCCAAGCCGACGAUCUGUAGCUGGUCUGAGAGGACGACCAGCCACACUGGGACUGAGACACGGCCCAGACUCCUACGGGAGGCAGCAGUGGGGAAUUUUGGACAAUGGGCGCAAGCCUGAUCCAGCAAUGCCGCGUG